RNAcentral lists this ribosomal RNA (366 nucleotides) under uncultured bacterium. Its description in RNAcentral is "bacterial SSU rRNA". It matches the Rfam family "Bacterial small subunit ribosomal RNA", at positions 27 to 421 of the family's 1533-position model. The record is from RNAcentral.
GAACGAACGCUGGCGGCAUGCCUAACACAUGCAAGUCGAACGAACCCUUCGGGGUUAGUGGCGCACGGGUGCGUAACGCGUGGGAAUCUGCCCUUUGCUUCGGAAUAACAGUUAGAAAUGACUGCUAAUACCGGAUGAUGACUUCGGUCCAAAGAUUUAUCGGCAAAGGAUGAGCCCGCGUAGGAUUAGGUAGUUGGUGGGGUAAAGGCCUACCAAGCCGACGAUCCUUAGCUGGUCUGAGAGGAUGAUCAGCCACACUGGGACUGAGACACGGCCCAGACUCCUACGGGAGGCAGCAGUGGGGAAUAUUGGACAAUGGGGGCAACCCUGAUCCAGCAAUGCCGCGUGAGUGAUGAAGGCCUUCGG